This 353-nucleotide ribosomal RNA is filed under the name uncultured bacterium. Its description in RNAcentral is "partial 16S ribosomal RNA". It matches the Rfam family "Bacterial small subunit ribosomal RNA", at positions 338 to 683 of the family's 1533-position model. The record is from RNAcentral.
CCUACGGGAGGCAGCAGUGGGGAAUAUUGCGCAAUGGGCGAAAGCCUGACGCAGCGACGCCGCGUGAGGGAUGCAGGUCUUCGGAUCGUAAACCUCUGUCAGCAGGGAAGAACGGUCACUGUGCUAAUCAGCAGUGAAUUGACGGUACCUGCAAAGGAAGCAACGGCUAACGCCGUGCCAGCAGCCGCGGUAAUACGGAGGGUGCGAGCGUUAAUCGGAAUUACUGGGCGUAAAGCGCUCGUAGGCGGGAUGUCGGGUCAAGGGUGAAAUACCCGCGCUCAACGUGGGAACUGCCUUUGAAACUGGCAAACUGGAGGGUGGGAGAGGAUAGUGGAAUUCCAGGUGGAGGAGUG